GAGCAAGCGCAAUGGAGGUAGAGAAGAGAGACGGCACGACCAGGAGCGCCGUCCUCGGAACAAGAAAGCUGCCUGCUUGCUUGCCUGCCUGCCUGCCUGCCUGCCUGCCGCCUGCCUGCUAGCCAGCCACCCCAAGUUCCCUUCUAGACGGUCUCCCAUCGCGAUAAGGCGUACCAGUCCGCGGUGUGAUCGAGUGGCUCUCGUCGUCGCGGGCGAUUCAAAUACGCGCGCAGACACCCGGUAGACGAACACCUACCCACAUAACCGCGACCAAUGGGGAUCACGUCAACGCAACCAGAUGGCUUUUUCGUUACACGAAAUAUUAAAAUAAAAUAUCUUUGCACGUUACUUUGCUCGUGAAAUCAUUUUAUUCUUAGAGAGUAAUUCCUAAGAAGUUCUUCCAAUAGUUGCCAUUUCGUCCCAGCUGAAUUGAAAACGUCGUCGAGAGCAAAGGGCCAACAGGCUAACCAAAGAUGAAUAUUCCUUCGUCUUCUCCUCUGAAGUGGCUCUCGAACGCGUCUCGAGGAGAAUACGCGGUGGCACUCGGUUCUAAACGUUGCAUCGGGUCGCAGCACGCGAGAGCGACGUAUCCACUGGUGUACACCGGCAUUACCAGUACUUUUCUCGCGAUAACGAGAGUCGGUUAUGCGGAUGUCCGUGAAACAGAUUGUUGGCCACCGCACGCGAAUCUGCGCAUGCGACGCAGCACCGAACGAGAGCGCACACGAGCGUCGCGGACGACCCAUUUAAUGCACACGUAUAUCCGCUGUACGUACAACAGCCGGUUCGCUAUUUAGCCCGAGACUAAACUGGAAACUCGAGAUAAACGACAUUCCCCCAGGCUUAUCUGGACCUAACCGUGGACCGAAUCACCGACAACUGAUGACCCAA
Molecule: long non-coding RNA, 891 nt
Organism: Hylaeus anthracinus
Lineage: Eukaryota; Metazoa; Arthropoda; Insecta; Hymenoptera; Colletidae
Exons: 3
Source: RefSeq, a predicted model, not a curated record